UUUGUUUUUUCACAAUUUCAAACACCUACGAAAUUUGAGUACUCCUCUUAUAUAUGAAAUACCCCAGCGUCUACGGCAGCAACUUCCUUUGCUUCUCAAUCCUUAUUCACCCCAACCCUACCUCGAAUACAUUGAAUUAAGGCCCCCCACCAGCCAAUAGAAGCUCUCACAUCUCGUGCUCCAACGAAGACUGCUCAGCUCGCGUCGCAUUCUGGGUCUCUAGAAGCUGCUGGUCGCUCAGGUGUCUCCACUCGCAUGGUCGUCGUUGGGUCAAGAUUACUGUUGGCCCAUCUUCUCUGCUCCGGAAACCAUUCUUCUUUCUUUCAAUAAAAUGGAUGAUGUUAAAAUGUAAUUACAGUAGCUGCUCUUAUUGUCAAUGAAAUUUGUAUUAUUACUGCAGAAGUUAGCUUUCAUCCCUCCAAAAAUUGAGUUAAGCUCUCUUAUCCCAGCCUGGUCAGCAACAAUCAACACAGUGCCCUUUAUCUUUUAAGAUGGCUAGAAAAGGUCGUUACACGAAAAAAUCGAAAUUAAGACCAGGGUGUCAGCAACCACAAACGGCUCCGCCUCUGGUCUCGGCUUCCCACCGCGAUGACUCUCAAAUUCUCCCGGACAGUGGUGAUAUGUACCAAGGCCUGCUCCACAAACGAGCACAAAUAACAUUCAGAACUCGGAGCCAGGCCACGUAAACUUGGCAGCUAAUGCUAAUGAUGUAGAUUCUAUUGAUCAAGAAGCUGAUGACCCCUUUGUUGAUUCUAGAGCUCAGAAUUGCAAAGUACGCAAGACUACAGAGUUUUGGGAAGUUAAGAUCAUCGACUCCGAUGGCAUAAUCAAGCCGGCAAGACUAAGCAUGACGAAGGCUAUGGAACGGCCUAACGGUAGAAAGAUCGUGCUCAGGUUCAACAAUGCAAAGCAAGCAAUUGGAAAUGAAGCUGGACUGUUGAGUGGCGUGCUUGGUCUGCUAGGAUCUGACUUUGGAAAAUUUUCUAUCUGUGGGAAAAGUUGGCGUAAGAUUACCACUAAAGAUAAGGUUUAUAACAAAUGUGUCAAGGUAAAAGUUUAUAUCCCUUUUGAAAUAAAUCUGCUUAUUUUUAUAA
Arachis ipaensis is the source of this 1094-nucleotide non-coding RNA. The record is from RefSeq and is a predicted model, not a curated record. Lineage: Eukaryota; Viridiplantae; Streptophyta; Magnoliopsida; Fabales; Fabaceae.